UCGAGCGGACAGAUGGGAGCUUGCUCCCUGAUGUUAGCGGCGGACGGGUGAGUAACACGUGGGUAACCUGCCUGUAAGACUGGGAUAACUCCGGGAAACCGGGGCUAAUACCGGAUGGUUGUUUGAACCGCAUGGUUCAAACAUAAAAGGUGGCUUCGGCUACCACUUACAGAUGGACCCGCGGCGCAUUAGCUAGUUGGUGAGGUAACGGCUCACCAAGGCAACGAUGCGUAGCCGACCUGAGAGGGUGAUCGGCCACACUGGGACUGAGACACGGCCCAGACUCCUACGGGAGGCAGCAGUAGGGAAUCUUCCGCAAUGGACGAAAGUCUGACGGAGCAACGCCGCGUGAGUGAUGAAGGUUUUCGGAUCGUAAAGCUCUGUUGUUAGGGAAGAACAAGUACCGUUCGAAUAGGGCGGUAC
RNAcentral lists this ribosomal RNA (423 nucleotides) under uncultured bacterium. RNAcentral describes it as "bacterial SSU rRNA". It matches the Rfam family "Bacterial small subunit ribosomal RNA", at positions 62 to 478 of the family's 1533-position model. The record is from RNAcentral.